AGAGUUUGAUCCUGGCUCAGGACGAACGCUGGCGGCGUGCCUAAUACAUGCAAGUCGAACGCUUCUUUCCUCCCGAGUGCUUGCACUCAAUUGGAAAGAGGAGUGGCGGACGGGUGAGUAACACGUGGGUAACCUACCCAUCAGAGGGGGAUAACACUUGGAAACAGGUGCUAAUACCGCAUAACAGUUUAUGCCGCAUGGCAUAAGAGUGAAAGGCGCUUUCGGGUGCCGCUGAUGGAUGGACCCGCGGUGCAUUAGCUAGUUGGUGAGGUAACGGCUCACCAAGGCCACGAUGCAUAGCCGACCUGAGAGGGUGAUCGGCCACACUGGGACUGAGACACGGCCCAGACUCCUACGGGAGGCAGCAGUAGGGAAUCUUCGGCAAUGGACGGAAGUCUGACCGAGCAACGCCGCGUGAGUGAAGAAGGUUUUCGGAUCGUAAAACUCUGUUGUUAGAGAAGAAUAAGGACGUUAGUAACUGAACGUCCCCUGACGGUAUCUAACCAGAAAGCCACGGCUAACUACGUGCCAGCAGCCGCGGUAAUACGUAGGUGGCAAGCGUUGUCCGGAUUUAUUGGGCGUAAAGCGAGCGCACGCGGUUUCUUAAGUCUGAUGUGAAAGCCCCCGGCUCAGCCGGGGAGGGUCAUUGGAAAACUGGGAGACUUGAGUGCAGAAGAGGAGAGUGGAAAUUCCAUGUGUAGCGGUGAGAAUGCGUAGAUAUAUGGAGGAACACCAGUGGCGAAAGCGGCUCUCUGGUCUGUACUGACGCUGA
RNAcentral lists this ribosomal RNA (772 nucleotides) under uncultured bacterium. RNAcentral's name for it is "bacterial SSU rRNA". It matches the Rfam family "Bacterial small subunit ribosomal RNA", at positions 8 to 749 of the family's 1533-position model. The record is from RNAcentral.